This 1028-nucleotide long non-coding RNA is filed under the name Manihot esculenta (cassava). Its description in RNAcentral is "long non-coding RNA (MESC_LNC002878)". The record is from RNAcentral. Lineage: Eukaryota; Viridiplantae; Streptophyta; Magnoliopsida; Malpighiales; Euphorbiaceae.
UUUCGUGAGAUCACGCUUGGUUCGUCUUUGAUGGAUCCCACGAAUGAGGUUGUGGGCAUAAUCAACGGAUCUGUAACAUCAGACCCUGCGACUCUUUAUUUUUUACUAAUACGAAUCCGGAACUUGCAUUGUCUAACUCACCCAACUUGAAAUUCGGUGCAUCUCUGCAUUUACAAGACUCUGAGAAGUCAAUCAAAUGAGCUGCAUGUUAUUUUAAGUUUCUAUAAGAGCUAACGAAAAACCAUGAGAAAUAGGCUCUUCUGUUCACUCCCCAGUCCCCAUAACGAUGGGUAGAAAACUCCCAUUGAUACGUAGAAUCUUAUUUGCAAAUCAUGCAUUAGAAAAGCCAAGCAAAGACGCUAGUUUCGUCCAACACAGCAAUACAAAUUACAGCAAGCAGAUAGAACCAUCUCUUCUUGAGCAAUGCAUUCAACAUCAAGCUGCAUAUGGGUAGAAGUGUAAACAAGGAAAACUGACGCUACAAUCAACUGUAAGUCGAAUGCAUUUUAACUGUUAACCAUAGUGGGAUUAACCAUAAUUGCUUUAAUCAUUAAUUGAUCACUUGGCAGAAUUAAAUUGUUGUACCUACAAUAUUUAUAUAGAAUAAUUUUCCAGACGAAGAAAGCAUUUAAUACCAAAAAUUAAAGAAAAAAAUUAAGAACAGGUAAAAGACACCUUGAUUGCUAGAUAAACAGGGAUGAGUGUUACAAGCAACAAUAAGAACAACAAACAACUACUAAGCCAACAUAUGUAAAGCCCUUCAUCUCAUUCUAAGACCUAAGCAUGAGAAAUACCUCUACCUCACAGCCUUGCGAAAAGAUGUCUCACUACCUAAUUGGCACCUUCCAGCAAGCGAAAGCUUCAAGCUGGAAAGCUUUCAGUGUUAUUUAUUUAACUUACAGAAGGAUUAAAUUACAAAAGAUACUCUUAUCAGGCCUACAGUACAACACAAACAUCAGAUCGCAAGCCUACCACACAGAUUAGUCAGACCCCACGUCACAGAAAGUUUCACUUCCAUGGCAAGAUUG